Delphinapterus leucas (beluga whale) is the source of this 1132-nucleotide long non-coding RNA. RefSeq lists it as uncharacterized. The record is from RefSeq and is a predicted model, not a curated record. NCBI's taxonomy places the organism in Eukaryota, Metazoa, Chordata, Mammalia, Artiodactyla, Monodontidae.
CCUAUCAGAAGUUUGCCUGUGAGGGCGUCACCUCCCUCGACUCUCACUCUGCGUUCCUUGACGUUUUUUCGUCUGGCUCGGUUUUUGUUUCGAGCCAGGUGCACAACAGAUAAUACAAAACCUUGUAAGAGCCUGAAAAUUACAGAGUUGAUGACAGGGGAAACCACUUCUCUCUGAAGAUGAAAUCUCUGGAAUGUGACCUUAUGGUUGAAACUGUAGCAGCCAACCUGUGUCCAUGAGGGAAAUAUCAAGGGAAUUCAAAGGCUCUGGAGUUAACUAAACCAGAAACAACAACUGCAUGCAUCUGGACUUCCCAUUAUGUGGGGAAAAGGGGAAGUCAGCUGCCAUGUUGAGAGGAUACUCAGGCAACCUGUGGAGAAGUGAGACUGAGGUCUCCUGCCGACAUCCAUGCAUGUGAGCUGUCUUAGAAAUGGAUCCUCCAGCCCCAGUCAAGGCUUCGGAUGACUGCUGCUCCAGUCAACUAAGCUGCUUCUAAAUUUCUAAUUCACAGGAAUCAUGAGUAAGUGGGUUGAGAGGAGAGACAGUCACAGCUUCCUAGACCACCAUGAACCUCGGGCAGUCAUCUUAGCCCAUUCUCCCAUGUCAUGAAAACUAUACUUCGGACCAUUUUCAGAGAGACUUGGUGACAAUGGUGGAGUCGAAGGAGACUUCCAGUGGCUUCAGGGACAAUGAGAAACAGAGGCAUAGUAACCGCAAACUCUUCUGAGUUCUGUCUUUCUCACCGUUUCUGAGGGCUGUGGCCGUUAACCAUCUCUGUCUAGCCAUUGCCCAGAGUCUCCAUCACAAAAUCCCAGGAACCACGCUAUUAAAGACACAAUUCUCACCAGAUGACUACUGAGGAAGGAGGUUAAUGGAUGCCUUGUAGGCCAGUUGUGGACCUGCCUUAGAGAAUUUGGCCUCUUAGUACAAGCUUGACAAGGCAGAGCGGACAGCUAAGAGAUCGUGGGCAGGGAUCUUGCACUCAUAUCUACCACUGUAUGCCUAAUGCACAGCACUUUGGAAGGCUUCUCAUGAAUCCACCUCCCAGAGGCACUGUAUCCUUAUGAGGUACAGCUUCUCUCUACCCUUGAAAUGAUAAUUAUAAGAAAAGAAAGUGGCAGUCACUUAAAAC